RNAcentral lists this long non-coding RNA (310 nucleotides) under Crocodylus porosus (Australian saltwater crocodile). RNAcentral describes it as "lncRNA (ENSCPRG00005011623.1)". Lineage: Eukaryota; Metazoa; Chordata; Crocodylia; Crocodylidae. The record is from RNAcentral.
UCUGUCUCCAUUUCAGAGGUAAAGGGUUACUGGAGCUCAUAGCAUCAGGCCAGACCUUAAGGAUAUUUUUGUCCUGAUCACUAAAUCAAACCUGAAUAUCCUAAAACAUUUUAUGCAUUACAGAUCUGAGAGUGACACAUGUUGAGACAACGGCCUAGCAUCUUUAACAUAACGCUACAAAGUAGCUGCAGUUCCUUUGGUGAUAGCAGGAGUGGAGGUGCCAGCAGAGACAUGAUGAUGGUGGUUUAGCCGCUGGAACAACACAGGAUAUCACAGGGUGUGAAGAAUAAAAUCAAAAUGGACAAAUGCA